UACAGAGACUGCAAGCGUUAUUCGGAUUCACUGGGCGUAAAGGGUGCGCAGGCGGUUGGGUGUGUCAGAUGUGAAAUCCCGAGGCUCAACCUCGGAACUGCGUCUGAAACUACUCGACUAGAGUAUUGGAGAGGGUAACGGAAUUCACGGUGUAGCAGUGAAAUGCGUAGAGAUGUGGAGGAACACCAGUGGCGAAGGCGGCUCUCUGGUCUGUAACUGACGCUGAGGCGCGAAAGCGUGGGGAGCAAACAGG
This 253-nucleotide ribosomal RNA is filed under the name uncultured bacterium. Its description in RNAcentral is "partial 16S ribosomal RNA". It matches the Rfam family "Bacterial small subunit ribosomal RNA", at positions 524 to 776 of the family's 1533-position model. The record is from RNAcentral.